CUGUAUGUUUAUUGUUGUGUGUUAAUUGUUGCACUUCAGAGUUAUGUUGUUUCAUUGUUUUUGUUUACUGUUGCACUUCAGAGUUAUGUUGUUUUAUUGUUGCACUUCAGAGUUAUGUUGUUUUACUGUUACACUUCAGAGUUAUGUUGUUUCAUUGUUUUUGUUUACUGUUGCACUUCAGAGUUGUGUUGUUUUACUGUUGCACUUCAGAGUUAUGUUGUUUUACUGUUGCAUUUCAGAGUUAUGUUGUUUUACUGUUGCACUUCAGAGUUAUGUUGUUUCAUUGUUGCACUUCAGAGUUAUGUUGUUUUACUGUUGCACUUCAGAGUUAAGUUGUUUCAUUGUUUUUGUUUACUGUUGCACUUCAGAGUUAUGUUGUUUUAUUGUUGCACUUCAGAGUUAUGUUGUUUUACUGUUGCACUUCAGAGAUGGUUGUUUCAUUGUUUGUUGUUUACUGUUGCACUUCAGAGUUAUGUUGUUUUAUUGUUGCACUUCAGAGUUAUGUUGUUUUUUGUUUACUGUUGCACUUCAGAGUUAUGUUGUUUCAUUGUUUUUGUUUACUGUUGCACUUCAGAGUUGUGUUGUUUUACUGUUGCACUUCAGAGUUAUGUUGUUUUACUGUUGCAUUUCAGAGUUAUGUUGUUUUACUGUUGCACUUCAGAGUUAUGUUGUUUCAUUGUUUUUGUUUACUGUUGCACUUCAGAGUUGUGUUGUUUUACUGUUGCACUUCAGAGUUAUGUUGUUUACUGUUGCACUUCAGAGUUAUGUUGUUUUACUGUUGCACUUCAGAGUUAUGUUGUUUUACUGUUGUACUUCAGAGUUAUGUUGUUUUAUUGUUGCACUUCAGAGUUGUGUUGUUUUACUGUUGCACUUCAGAGUUAUGUUGUUUUACUGUUGCACUUCAGAGUUAUGUUGUUUUAUUGUUGCACUUCAGAG
Molecule: long non-coding RNA, 936 nt
Filed under: Mytilus galloprovincialis (Mediterranean mussel)
Lineage: Eukaryota; Metazoa; Mollusca; Bivalvia; Mytilida; Mytilidae
Source: RNAcentral